UGACUAGAUAACACAUUCGUCU
RNAcentral lists this microRNA (22 nucleotides) under Capitella teleta. Lineage: Eukaryota; Metazoa; Annelida; Polychaeta; Capitellidae. The record is from RNAcentral.